UGCGUAGGCGGGCUAUCAAGUCAGUGGUGAAAUCCCGCAGCUUAACUGCGGAACUGCCAUUGAAACUAGUAGCCUUGAGUACGGUUGAAGUGGGUGGAAUGUGUCAUGUAGCGGUGAAAUGCAUAGAUAUGACACAGAACGCCGAUAGCGAAGGCAGCUCACUAAGCCGAAACUGACGCUGAGGCACGAAAGCGUGGGGAGCGAACAGGAUUAGAUACCCUGGUAGUCC
This 229-nucleotide ribosomal RNA is filed under the name uncultured bacterium. Its description in RNAcentral is "partial 16S ribosomal RNA". It matches the Rfam family "Bacterial small subunit ribosomal RNA", at positions 568 to 796 of the family's 1533-position model. The record is from RNAcentral.